Molecule: ribosomal RNA, 486 nt
Filed under: uncultured bacterium
Lineage: Bacteria
Description: partial 16S ribosomal RNA
Rfam family: Bacterial small subunit ribosomal RNA
Source: RNAcentral
GAUGAACGCUAGCGGCAGGCUUAACACAUGCAAGUCGAGGGGCAGCGCGGGAUAGCAAUAUCCUGGCGGCGACCGGCGGAAGGGUGCGUAACGCGUGAGCGACAUGCCCGUUGCCCGGGGACAACCGGUGGAAACGCCGACUAAUCCCCGAUGGGAUACGAUGCUUCAUGGCAUUGUAUUGAAAGUUACGGCGGCGACGGAUUGGCUCGCGUCCGAUUAGCUGGUUGGCGGGGUAACGGCCCACCAAGGCUGCGAUCGGUAGGGGUUCUGAGAGGAAGGCCCCCAACAAGGGGACUGAGACACGGCCCAUACUCCUACGGGAGGCAGCAGUGAGGAAUAUUGGUCAAUGGGCGGAAGCCUGAACCAGCCAUGCCGCGUGCGGGAAGGAGGCCCUAUGGGCUGUGAACCGCUUUUGCCUGGGGGCAAUAAGGGCGUCGCGCACGUCCGAUGAGAGUACCAGGCGAAUAAGCAUCGGCUAACUCCGUG